UGAGCGACCUGCCAUACCUGUGGGGGGAUAGCCGGCCCAACGGCCGGGUAAUACCGCAUACGGUCGUUUGGGGGCAUCCCUGGACGACGAAAGCUCGUAAGAGCGCAGGAUGAGGGGCUCGCGGCCUAUCAGCUAGUUGGCGGGGUAAUGGCCCACCAAGGCGAUGACGGGUAGCUGGUCUGAGAGGAUGGCCAGCCACAUUGGGACUGAGACACGGCCCAG
Molecule: ribosomal RNA, 222 nt
Filed under: uncultured bacterium
Lineage: Bacteria
Description: partial 16S ribosomal RNA
Rfam family: Bacterial small subunit ribosomal RNA
Source: RNAcentral